This is a small nucleolar RNA of Eptesicus fuscus (big brown bat), 133 nucleotides long. RefSeq annotates it as small nucleolar RNA SNORA31. The transcript has a single exon. Lineage: Eukaryota; Metazoa; Chordata; Mammalia; Chiroptera; Vespertilionidae. The record is from RefSeq and is a predicted model, not a curated record.
AUGCAUCUAUUGACAUACCUGGAGCAGUUACUGUCUGCUGCAAAGAUUUCCACUACAGAUGCCAGAGAAAAGUGUCCUUGCCCUUUCUGUCUGUUGGAUUGUGGCAGAGAAGAUUGAAUGGGGGAAUACAGAA